This 198-nucleotide non-coding RNA is filed under the name Patulibacter medicamentivorans. Lineage: Bacteria; Bacillati; Actinomycetota; Thermoleophilia; Solirubrobacterales; Patulibacteraceae. The record is from RNAcentral.
CGCCGUGCUACCGUCGCCGGCAACACGCAAUAGCGGAUCGUGGUGAAGGGAAGUCCGGUGCAAGACCGGCGCGGACCCGCCACUGUGAGCGACAGGUCGACCGCACGCACGCGGUGCAGCCACUGGGGCCCAGGCCCCGGGAAGGCGCGGUCGACCGGACUCGUGAGCCAGGAGACCUGCCCGAUCCGGCAACGUCGA